GAUGAACGCUAGCUACAGGCUUAACACAUGCAAGUCGAGGGGAAACGGCAUUAAGUGCUUGCACUUUUUGGACGUCGACCGGCGCACGGGUGAGUAACGCGUAUCCAACCUUCCCAUGACUAAGGGAUAACCUGCCGAAAGGCAGACUAAUACCUUAUGGUCUUCACUGACGGCAUCAGAUGUGAAGUAAAGAUUUAUCGGUUAUGGAUGGGGAUGCGUCUGAUUAGCUUGUUGGCGGGGUAACGGCCCACCAAGGCAACGAUCAGUAGGGGUUCUGAGAGGAAGGGCCCCCACAUUGGAACGGAGACACGGUCCAAACCCCAACGGGAGGCAGCAGUGGGGAAUUUUGGUCAAUGGGGGGGGGCCUAAACCAGCAAAGUAGGGGGAAGGAUGACGGCCCUAUGGGUUUUAAACUGUUUUUGUAUGGGGAUAAAGUAAAUCCCGUGUGAUUUUUUGCAGGAACCAAACAAAAAAGGACCGGCUAAUUCCGG
This 491-nucleotide ribosomal RNA is filed under the name uncultured bacterium. RNAcentral describes it as "partial 16S ribosomal RNA". It matches the Rfam family "Bacterial small subunit ribosomal RNA", at positions 28 to 506 of the family's 1533-position model. The record is from RNAcentral.